Molecule: ribosomal RNA, 1236 nt
Filed under: metagenome
Description: bacterial LSU rRNA
Rfam family: Bacterial large subunit ribosomal RNA
Source: RNAcentral
UGAGUACGAGACGCUAAGGCGUUGAAGCAGUCUAUGUCAGACUUCCAAGAAAAGCUCGCAAUGUCAUAAACAAAGAAUGCUUGUACCAUAACCGACACAGGUGGGUAGGUAGAGUAUACUAAGGGGCGCGAGAUAACUCUCUCUAAGGAACUCGGCAAAAUGACUCCGUAACUUCGGGAGAAGGAGUGCCUUAUUUUUAUAAGGUUGCAAUAACAAGAUCCAAGCAACUGUUUACCAAAAACACAGGUCUCCGCUAAGUCGUAAGACGAUGUAUGGGGGCUGACGCCUGCCCAGUGCCAGAAGGUUAAAGAAGUUGGUUAGUUUCGGCGAAGCUGAUGACUGAAGCCCUGGUGAACGGCGGCCGUAACAAUAACGGUCCUAAGGUAGCGAAAUUCCUUGUCGGGUAAGUUCCGACCCGCACGAAAGGCGUAAUGAUUUGGAUACUGUCUCGGAGAGGGGCUCGGUGAAAUAGACUUGUCUGUGAAGAUGCGGACUACCUGCACCUGGACAGAAAGACCCUAUGAAGCUUUACUGUAACUUGAGAUUGAAAUUGGACUUUAUUUGCGCAGUACAGGUGGGAGACGUUGAGAAUAUUCUUGCGGGAAUAUUGGAGUCAUCAGUGAGAUACCACUCUUGUAAUGUUAGAUUUCUAACUUUGUAUCAUGAUCUGGUCAAAGGACAGUUUCAGGCGGGCAGUUUGACUGGGGCGGUCGCCUCCCAAACGGUAACGGAGGCGCACAAAGGUUUCCUCUGAACGUGUAGAAAUCGUAUCUAGAGUGUAAAGGCAUAAGGAAGUUGACUGUGAGACCUACAAGUCGAGCAGCGACGAAAGUCGGUCUUAGUGAUCUGACGGUGCUGAGUGGAAAGGCCGUCACUCAACGGAUAAAAGUUACUCUAAGGAUAACAGGCUGAUCUCCCCCAAGAGUUCACAUCGACGGGGAGGUUUGGCACCUCGAUGUCGGCUCAUCGCAUCCUGGGGCGGUAGUACGUCCCAAGGGUUGGGCUGUUCGCCCAUAAAAGCGGUACGCGAGCUGGGUUCAGAACGUCGUGAGACAGUUCGGUCCAUAUCCGGUGUAGGCGUUAGAAUAUUGAGAGGAGCCUUCUUUAGUACGAGAGGACCGAGAAGGACAUACCUCUGGUGUACCAGUUAUCGUGCCAACGGUGAACGCUGGGUAGCUAUGUAUGGAGUGGAUAACCGCUGAAAGCAUCUAAGUGGGAAGCCCACCUCAAGAUAAG